RNAcentral lists this ribosomal RNA (806 nucleotides) under Kocuria sp. RNAcentral's name for it is "bacterial SSU rRNA". It matches the Rfam family "Bacterial small subunit ribosomal RNA", at positions 67 to 883 of the family's 1533-position model. The record is from RNAcentral. Lineage: Bacteria; Bacillati; Actinomycetota; Actinomycetes; Micrococcales; Micrococcaceae.
CGAUGAUGCCCAGCUUGCUGGGCGGAUUAGUGGCGAACGGGUGAGUAAUACGUGAGUAACCUGCCCCUGACUCUGGGAUAAGCCUGGGAAACCGGGUCUAAUACUGGAUACGACCUCCUGCCGCAUGGUGGGGGGUGGAAAGGGUUCACUGGUUUUGGAUGGGCUCACGGCCUAUCAGCUUGUUGGUGGGGUAAUGGCUCACCAAGGCGACGACGGGUAGCCGGCCUGAGAGGGUGACCGGCCACACUGGGACUGAGACACGGCCCAGACUCCUACGGGAGGCAGCAGUGGGGAAUAUUGCACAAUGGGCGAAAGCCUGAUGCAGCGACGCCGCGUGAGGGAUGACGGCCUUCGGGUUGUAAACCUCUUUCAGUAGGGAAGAAGCGCAAGUGACGGUACCUGCAGAAGAAGCGCCGGCUAACUACGUGCCAGCAGCCGCGGUAAUACGUAGGGCGCAAGCGUUGUCCGGAAUUAUUGGGCGUAAAGAGCUCGUAGGCGGUUUGUCGCGUCCGCUGUGAAAGCCCGGGGCUCAACCCCGGGUCGGCAGUGGGUACGGGCAGACUAGAGUGCAGUAGGGGAGACUGGAAUUCCUGGUGUAGCGGUGAAAUGCGCAGAUAUCAGGAGGAACACCGAUGGCGAAGGCAGGUCUCUGGGCUGUUACUGACGCUGAGGAGCGAAAGCAUGGGGAGCGAACAGGAUUAGAUACCCUGGUAGUCCAUGCCGUAAACGUUGGGCACUAGGUGUGGGGGACAUUCCACGUCCUCCGCGCCGUAGCUAACGCAUUAAGUGCCCCGCCUGGGGAGUAC